CAGCCGCCGCGGUAAUACGUAGGUGGUAAGCGUUGUCCGGAAUUAUUGGGCGUAAAGCGCACGUAGGCGGAUCCUUAAGUCAGAGGUGAAAUCCCAAGGCUCAACCUUGGAACUGCCUUUGAUACUGGGGAUCUCGAGUUCGGGAGAGGUGAGUGGAACUGCGAGUGUAGAGGUGAAAUUCGUAGAUAUUCGCAAGAACACCAGUGGCGAAGGCGGCUCACUGGCCCGAUACUGACGCUGAGGUGCGAAAGCGUGGGGAGCAAACAGGAUUAGAUACCCCCGUAGUCCCUGUCUCUUAUAC
Molecule: ribosomal RNA, 301 nt
Filed under: uncultured bacterium
Lineage: Bacteria
Description: partial 16S ribosomal RNA
Rfam family: Bacterial small subunit ribosomal RNA
Source: RNAcentral